Molecule: ribosomal RNA, 253 nt
Filed under: uncultured bacterium
Lineage: Bacteria
Description: partial 16S ribosomal RNA
Rfam family: Bacterial small subunit ribosomal RNA
Source: RNAcentral
UACAGAGGUCCCAAGCGUUGUUCGGAAUUACUGGGCGUAAAGGGCGCGUAGGCGGCCUGCUAAGUCGAACGUGAAAUCCCUGGGCUCAACCCAGGAACUGCGUCCGAUACUGGUUGGCUUGAAUCCGGGAGAGGGAUGCGGAAUUCCAGGUGUAGCGGUGAAAUGCGUAGAUAUCUGGAGGAACACCGGUGGCGAAGGCGGCAUCCUGGACCGGCAUUGACGCUGAGGCGCGAAAGCCAGGGGAGCAAACGGG